RNAcentral lists this long non-coding RNA (901 nucleotides) under Nicotiana benthamiana. RNAcentral's name for it is "long non-coding RNA (NBEN_LNC007930)". Lineage: Eukaryota; Viridiplantae; Streptophyta; Magnoliopsida; Solanales; Solanaceae. The record is from RNAcentral.
UCGUGUUAAGUUGUACUUAUUGGGGAUAGCAAGAAGUGAGAUUGUUAUCCCCUCAUUUGGUUACUGAAGUUGGUCCCGAAUUCUAAUCACAACAUUACUAAUAAAUAAGAUCAUAUUACUCAUUACUUCCCUUUCUAAAAAUUGCAUUCCUAUCAAUAUUUACCUCACUACAUUCCAACAGCAUUAUAAUCUUCCAUCCACAGUCUCCUCACGCUAUUAUAAUCUUUCCUUAUCUCGGCCACCAAACAAAGGACUUUUUACGAUUAUGAGAUGCAUCAUUUUGAAAUUCCAAGAAAGAGGUAUUUGCUGAAGCUUUUGCAUUAUUUGUUUGCUGGUCAUCUUCCUUUCCAUGCAUUACAUUGAGAUUACAAGAAAGAGGUAUUUGCUGAAGAAGCUUUUACUUUAUUUGUUUGCUGGUCAUCUUCCUUUCCAUGCGUUACAUUGAAUUCAUUUGUAUUUGUUAGCUGCAUUGUUUUCCGUUUUUAUACUUAUUUCUGAUCUUUAUUCGCAUUUAAAACAACAACAACAAAACACCCAGUUUGAUCCCAACAAGUGGGGUCUGGGGAAGGUAAUCUGUACGCACACCUUACCCCUACCUAAUGUAGGUAGAGAGGCUAUUUCCAACAGACUCUCGGCUCAGGAAGGGCGAGAAUAAGAAGAGUAAAGCAAGGGAGGAAGAAAGAUGGAAAAUAAAUUAAAAAGGGAGAGAUAAAAGGAUAAAUGGAAUUGAGAACAGUCCAUUCCAAGCGCAAGAGGUAGGAACACAAUCAAACUGCAAGUUCAACGGCGACUGCAAUUUUCUACACAUUCAGAACACGAUCGAUGUAUACCAGUAGAAGCAGACACAGUGACGACUGAAAAGGAGCAGAUAUCCAAUCGAACCCCCAAAGAGGUAAUGCCC